This 318-nucleotide ribosomal RNA is filed under the name uncultured Bacteroidales bacterium. RNAcentral describes it as "partial 16S ribosomal RNA". The record is from RNAcentral. Lineage: Bacteria; Pseudomonadati; Bacteroidota; Bacteroidia; Bacteroidales.
GGAGUCUGGUCCGUGUCUCAGUACCAGUGUGGGGGACCUUCCUCUCAGAACCCCUACGCAUCGUCGCCUUGGUGGGCCGUUGCCCCGCCAACUAGCUAAUGCGCCGCAUGCCCAUCCCCGGCCGGAAUCCUUUCACCGCAAACCCAUGCGGGAUCGCGGCGCAUGAGGUAUUAGGCCCAGUUUCCCGGGUUUAUCCCUCUGCCGGGGGCAGGUUGCAUACGUGUUACUCACCAGUGCGCCGGUCGCCAUCAAAGAAAGCAAGCUUCCUUCAUGCUGCCCCUCGACUUGCAUGUGUUAAGCCUGUAGCUAGCGUUCAUC